Molecule: long non-coding RNA, 3847 nt
Filed under: Homo sapiens (human)
Lineage: Eukaryota; Metazoa; Chordata; Mammalia; Primates; Hominidae
Description: HSALNT0136485
Source: RNAcentral
CUGGGUUUCACCAUGUUGGCCAAGCUGGUCUCAAUCUCCUGACCUCAGAAGAGCCACUUGCCUCAGCCUCUCAAAGUGCGGGGAUUACAGGCAUAAACCAUCGCACCUGGCCAUGAGACAUUUUUUCUGUGUCUUCUUAUAAAACCCUUAUCUGACAUAUGAUGCAAAUAUAUUUUCACAGUUUGCAAUUUUCCUUCUGUGAUAUUAUUUUACCAUAGAAAAUGUAUCCUUUUUUAUUAUUCAUGCAUUUCCUUUAUGAUUUCUCCCUUAGAAGUCAUACUUAGAAAGCCUUUUGCCCCACAGGCCCAUGUAAGCUCACAUUGUGAUGACUUUAUUCCUUCCACAUAAGUCUGGAAUCCUUCUGCCCUGUGGUAUGAAAUACACUCCUGUCUUGCUUUUCCACACGUAUUUCCCCACAGACUUGAAAGGCACACUCCUGACCAUACAAACUUGGACAUGCUCCUCAGCCUGUUUCUCCACUGUCUGUGUUGGGCCAUUGAUUUUUCUGUUUAUUUCUCAGCCGCUAAUGGAUUGUUUGAAAGUUCAUAGUUAGUCCACGGUUCAUUUCAAUAUUCAGUAGGGCAAGUCAUCCUUUUCUAUGUUUUUUGUCAAAAUCGUAUUAAAAGUUUUGUGUAGAUGAACAACAAGCCUGGAAUCACGCGUGGGAAUGCCAGCCUCACAUGACAUAGAAGACAGAGAAGGAGGAGGCGGGCACAAGCGGGACCCCACAGCCAGCAGCCCCCUUCAGACUGCUGGGAGAUAGCCAAUGGUUUGCAGCAACCAAGUGAAAGCCCAGCUAGGACAGAGGCGACCAAGACCCUCGCUGCAGCCUCAACUGCCCUCCUUGGCGAGGUGGCUGCUCCCAUGCCUGGGGCAAAUACUUGGACUCAAGAGCAAGGAAUGUCCUGAAGACUUGCACAGGGAAAAGUAUUGGAGCUUGGAUUAAAUACAGAUUAACAACAACAACAACAACAACAAAAGCCAGGCUCAGAAAGACAGGGACAAAGAAACAGAAAGGAAGUUAAAAACAAACCACAGGACUGAGUUCCUUCAUUUCAGGGUCUAAUGAGGGCUGGCGGCCGUAGCCAUUCUAGAAUUCCCAACAUGGAGUUCCAAAUUUUCUAGAAACAAUGAAGAUCUAGUAUUUUCAAGCUUUUAUCAGCUUAUAUUACACUCUCAAUGAUAAUUUUUUUUAAUUCUUUAGUAGCACACCAACUAACACUAAAGUAAGCCACCUGGCCAAGCGUGGUGGCAUGUGCCUGUGGUCCCAGCUACUUGGGAGGCUGAGACGGGAGCAUCCCUUAAGCCCGGGAGGUCGACGCUGCAGUAAGCUGUGAUUGUACCACUGCACUGCAGCCUGGGUGACAGAGAGAUACCAUUUUAAAAAUAAAAAUAAAAAAAAUUAAGCUACUCAAUUUGCAGGAGAUCAUGCAAAGGUAGACAGAGCAGGCUGGUCACUGGAGCCCAGGGCAACCUGCAGACAGAUGCACCUGCAGACAGACUUUUGCUGGCAUCAUCUCCCACUCUUCCUCUGGCUGGUCCUUCCCCCUGAUGUUAUUUUUAAUGGUCCUGUGUAUUGUUGUGGAGGUCACCUCACAUGUUUUCCUAGUGUAGUGAGAAUACUAACCAAAGGCUGAAAAGAAAUCAAAUGCAAUGCCAGUUGAAAGACCUGAGACAGACACACAGGGAAUGCCUAGGUGCCUGACAGGGAGAGAAGCUCUCAGUGUGCCAUGGACCACGUGGAUGCUUAUCAAGGAGACCUGCUAACCCAGCUAAGAGAUAGUGGCCCAGCAGGUCUCAGAGGAAAGGACCCUUCUGGCCCCAGGUGGCUUGGGGUCCCUCAUCAGCACUCCCGUCACACCUCACAACCAGGGCCACCACACCAGGAAUUCGUGUGCAGAUUGUGUCUUGUGUCUGUCUUGAAGGCAUCUAAAGGCACUUGGAACUAUACCUUUUGUCUCCCCAACACUAACAAAAUCUGUGGCAUGUUGUAAAUACUUGGUGAAUGAAUUCCUAAAAGUUUGAAUCUGGACCUUCAAGGGAAGACAAUAUAUGGCUAUGCAGUAUUCAGAGGAUAACCAGGCAGGAAGAUCAUCAAGGUCUAGAAACACACCAAGAAGAGAGACUACGGCAUUUCAGUGCAGGCCAGGGGUGGCACUGGUCAAAGGCACAUGUGGAACUGUGUCAGGCUGAAUAGAUGAGCCGGCACCCAGCCAAGAAGCACCACUUCCGCCACGCCUCCUCUGGAAAUGGCACCCUACUUCAUUCAGGUGACAAAAUAUGGCCCUCACACUCGAAUACUGACCGUCACUCAAGGCACCUCUGUCCAGUUCUUCCAAAUCCAGAACAGUUUCAGCGAUAGCAGACAAAUCCACACAUAACAUGUUAUGUUUGAUUAUUCAGAGAUGAUCAUUUAAACAAUGAUGUCACUGCUAUCAAUGUAAGGCAUCCGGUGGAGAUGCCUGUCUUAGACACCCCUAAAUUUGACCAACCUUGACUUCCAAUUUGCCCGAGGGCAUGGAGGACAUUUGAGACAGCAUGCCCAAAAAAUCAAAGUGAAAUGUCCUCCACUAUUAUUCCAGGAACUUCUUCUGAAGCACCACUUGGGAAAUGCAGUCUCCUCCAAGGACAGCACUCACGCUGGUGUCAGCCACAUACUCCAGCUGUACCCGGGUUGAGGACCAGUGCAGACCCUCUCCCCUGCAUGCCACAUUCAGAAAGCAGAGGAGGCCUUGUGUAAGGUAUGACUACAAAAUAACACAACUCUCAGAAUCACUACAGAUACAGCAGCAUCCAAAGUCCUCAUCCCCCACGUUUUAAAUUCUCAAAAUAACCACUUAAAAUUUUGAAAUUGGCUGGGCAUGGUGGCUUAUGCCUGUAAUCCCAGCACUUUGGGAGGCCAAGGCAGGUAGAUCAUGAGAUCAAGAGAUCGAGACCAUCCUGGCCAACAUGGUGAAACCCUGUCUCUACUAAAAAUACAAAAAUUAGCUGGAUGUGGUGGCGUGCCCCUGUAGUCCCAGUUACUCGGAGGCUGAGGCAGAAUAGCUUGAACCCAGGAGGCAGAGGUUGCAGUGAGCCAACGUCGCACUACUGCACUCCAGUCUGGUGACAGAGCGAGAUUCCACCUCAAAAAAAAAAAUGCAAUGAACACAUGUCAUCCUGCCCAAGCCAAAAGAAAGAUGGGAGCUAUUUUCUCAGCUGGUAGCAUAAUUGUAUUAUUCGCAGAGGCACACUGAAGACUCAGUGUCAGCUCGGUGCAGUUAGAAAGAACGCUGACGGUGGCAAAGCUAAAUGGUCUUUGUCAGGCAUUCUCCAGCAUUCAAACGGGUAAUAUUCCAUAGCGUCUUUCACUAAGUCAGUUCAUGCAGGGAGGCAGAAGCAGGAGGCAGCGCUCUCAAAGUCACAGGCUCCAAGUGAGCCAUGCUGAAGUUUAGUUUCAUGGUCGAGGUUGCCAACUAGUAACUUUUAUUCAUACAAUUUUCAAGUUAAAAUCUUUAUUUCCAGCUAGGCGCGGUGGCUCAUGCCUGUAAUCCCAGCACUUUGGGAGGCCGAGGCAGGCAGAUCACGAGGUCAGGAGAUCAAGACCAUCCUGGCUAACGCGGUGAAUCCCCAUCUCUACUAAAAAUACAAAAACAAAAAAUUAGCCAGGUGUGGUGGCAGGCACCUGUAGUCCCAGCUACUCGGGAGGCUGAGGCAGGAGAAUGGUGUGAACCCGGGAGGCGGAGGUUGCAGUGAGCCGAGAUUGUGCCACUGCACUCCAGCUUGGGCCACAGAGCAAGGCUCCAUCUCAAAAAAAAAAAAAAAAUCCUCACUUCCACACUUUCCCACGGUGCCCUGGGAUCUUGGC